This 254-nucleotide ribosomal RNA is filed under the name uncultured bacterium. RNAcentral describes it as "partial 16S ribosomal RNA". It matches the Rfam family "Bacterial small subunit ribosomal RNA", at positions 524 to 776 of the family's 1533-position model. The record is from RNAcentral.
UACGGGGGGAGCAAGCGUUGUUCGGAUUUACUGGGCGUAAAGGGCGCGUAGGCGGCCACCGCAAGUCGACUGUGAAAUCUCCGGGCUUAACCCGGAAAGGUCAGCCGAUACUGCGGGGCUAGAGUGCAGAAGGGGCAACUGGAAUUCUCUGUGUAGCGGUGAAAUGCGUAGAUAUCGAGAGGAACACCUGCGGCGAAGGCGGGUUGCUGGGCUGACACUGACGCUGAUGCGCGAAAGCUAGGGGAGCGAACGGG